Molecule: non-coding RNA, 21847 nt
Organism: Xyrichtys novacula (pearly razorfish)
Lineage: Eukaryota; Metazoa; Chordata; Actinopteri; Labriformes; Labridae
Source: the annotation of a GenBank genome assembly
GGUUAGGGUUAGGGUUGGAGCUAGGGUUAGGGUUAGGGUUAAGGUUGGAGCUAGGGUUAGGGUUAGGGUUAGGAUUAGGGUGGAGCUAGGGUUAGGGUUAGGGUUAGAGCUAGGGUUAGGGUUGGGGCUAGGGUUAGGGUUAGGGUUAGGGUUAAGGUUGGAGCUAGGGUUAGGGUUAGGUUCUAUAGACUCCCCGUGCCCUGAAACGUGCUCCUAACACAAUUCUGGAAGGUGAAAAAUUGGGUUGGCACUUAAAAAAUUUUUCAAUUUUUUUUUUCCAUGCAUUCCUAUGGAAAAAAAUAAUUUUUUUUAGGAACGUCCUAGAGACUCGGGAGUUGGUUCAUUGCACUCAGAAAAAUCCUAGCUCCAAGCCCAACCCUAACCCUAGCUCCAACACUAACCCUAACUCCAGCCCUAACCCUAACCCUAACCCUAGCUCCAACCCUAACCCUAACCCUAACCCAUGCAUUCCUAUGGGAAAAAAUCAAAUUUUUUUAGGAACGUCCUAGAGACUCGGGAGUUGGUUCAUUGCACUCAGAAAAAUCCUAGCUCCAAGCCCAACCCUAACCCUAGCUCCAACACUAACCCUAACUCCAGCCCUAACCCUAACCCUAGCUCCAACCCUAACCCUAACCCUAACCCAUGCAUUCCUAUGGGAAAAAAUCAAAUUUUUUUAGGAACGUCCUAGAGACUCGGGAGUUGGUUCAUUGCACUCAGAAAAAUCCUAGCUCCAAGCCCAACCCUAACCCUAGCUCCAACACUAACCCUAACUCCGACCCUAACCCUAACCCUAACUCUAGCUCCAACCCUAACCCUAACCCUAACCCAUGCAUUCCUAUGGAAAAAAAUCAAUUUUUUUUAGGAAUGUCCUAGAGACUCGGGAGUUGGUUCAUUGCACUCAGAAAAAUCCUAGCUCCAAGCCCAACCCUAACCCUAGCUCCAACACUAACCCUAACUCCAACCCUAACCCUAACCCUAACCCUAGCUCCAACCCUAACCCUAACCCUAACCCAUGCAUUCCUAUGGGAAAAAAUCAAAUUUUUUUAGGAACGUCCUAGAGACUCGGGAGUUGGUUCAUUGCACUCAGAAAAAUCCUAGCUCCAAGCCCAACCCUAACCCUAGCUCCAACACUAACCCUAACUCCAACCCUAACCCUAACCCUAACCCUAGCUCCAACCCUAACCCUAACCCUAACCCAUGCAUUCCUAUGGGAAAAAAUCAAUUUUUUUAGGAACGUCCUAGAGACUCGGGAGUUGGUUCAUUGCACUCAGAAAAAUCCUAGAUCCAAGCCCAACCCUAACCCUAGCUCCAACACUAACCCUAACUCCAACCCUAACCCUAACCCUAACCCUAGCUCCAACCCUAACCCUAACCCUAACAUUAGCCCCAACCCUAACCCUAGCUCUAACCCUAACCCUAACCCUAGCUCCACCCUAAUCCUAACCCUAACCCUAACCCUAGCUCCAACCUUAGCCCUAACCCUAACCCUAGCUCCAACCCUAACCCUAACCCUAACCCAUGCAUUCCUAUGGGAAAAAAGGGUUAACCCUAGGGUUAGGGUUAGGGUUAGGGUUGGAGUUAGGGUUAGGGUUAGGGUUAGGGUUGGAGCUAGGGUUAGGGUUAGGGUUAGGGUUUGAGGUAGGGUUAAUUUUGGAGCUAGGGUUAGGGUUGGGCUUGGAGCUAGGAUUUUUCUGAGUGCAAUGAACCAACUCCUGAGUCUCUAGGACGUUCCUAAAAAAAUUUGAUUUUUUCCCAUAGGAAUGCAUGGGUUAGGGUUAGGGUUAGGGUUGGAGCUAGGGUUAGGGUUAGGGUUAGGGUUGGAGUUAGGGUUAGUGUUGGAGCUAGGGUUAGGGUUGGGCUUGGAGCUAGGAUUUUUCUGAGUGCAAUGAACCAACUCCCGAGUCUCUAGGACGUUCCUAAAAAAAUUUUGAUUUUUUCCCAUAGGAAUGCAUGGGUUAGGGUUAGGGUUAGGGUUGGAGCUAGGGUUAGGGUUAGGGUUAGGGUUGGAGCUAGGGUUAGGUUUAGGGUUAGGGUUAGGGUUGGGCUUGGAGCUAGGAUUUUUCUGAGUGCAAUGAACCAACUCCCGAGUCUCUAGGACGUUCCUAAAAAAAUUUGAUUUUUUUCCAUAGGAAUGCAUGUGAAGUGCCAACCCAAUUUUUCAGCUAGGGUUAGGGUUAGGGUUAGGGUUAGGGUUAGGGUUGGAGCUAGGGUUAGGGUUAGGGUUAGAGCUAGGGUUAGGGUUAGGGUUGGAGCUAGGGUUAGGGUUAGGGUUAAGGUUGGAGCUAGGUUUAGGGUUAGGGUUAGGGUUGGGCUUGGAGCUAGGAUUUUUCUGAGUGCAAUGAACCAACUCCCGAGUCUCUAGGACGUUCCUAAAAAAAUUUGAUUUUUUUCCAUAGGAAUGCAUGUGAAGUGCCAACCCAAUUUUUCAGCUAGGGUUAGGGUUAGGGUUAGGGUUAGGGUUAGGGUUGGAGCUAGGGUUAGGGUUAAGGUUGGAGCUAGGGUUAGGGUUAGGGUUGGAGCUAGGGUUAGGGUUAGGGUUAAGGUUGGGGUUGGAGCUAGGUUAGGGUUAGGGUUAGGGUUGGAGCUAGGGUUAGGGUUAGAAACCUUUUGUUAGAAUAUUUUAGGGGUAAGUCAUAUUUGCACUUGACUAUAAUAUAUCGAUUGAAACAACUGAGAAAAUGUUGCACACAGAACAUUUACAAAUACAUACAGGCUGACAGGUUGAUUGGCAGGUACAUCAUCCAAUUAUUUCACUCCAUCCUUGACAACCUUUUGGGCAAACUUAUCACCACCCUGCAGCCACCACAGACGUCUAAGUUUUUUUUUUCUUUUUAUUAAUAGAGCAUUAUUAUUGAGACUUGCAACCAGAAUGUAAUAAACUUGUCAGCAGCUACGACCAAAACAGCAACAACAGAUAACCUCCCAUGGGAUGCUUACUCACUAACAGGCUAUUUACUUCAUUUCAGUAGCAUGUAAUUUUCAGGUGGGGUUGUAUGAUUCACAUGAACUUGUUUAUAUAGUUUUAACCCAUUUAUAUCUGAGGAAUGUUAUCCUGUUAAAGAAAUUGAAAGUUUGUUAUGACAAACAAAUUUAUAGAUAUAACUCGCAUCCUCCUGAUGGCUACAGGUAAAUCCUGUGGUUUCUAUUUAUCUUUACAGAAGGGUAUUUCCUUGCAUUGGAUACUGGAGGUAUCCAGCCAUUUAUUUAUAGAUUUAUAAACAACAGUCACAUAUGUAAAAAAAAUUGAGGCAUUAGCUUACAGAUUCAGUCAGGGUCUUCUGCCUGUACUCUGUGUUCUCUCUAUUUUUCUGCAUGACCUAGAAGAUUAUGGAUACAGAUCCAUGUUUUAGUGCCACUGGAAGUCAUUGGGGCAGUGUCAAGCAGUGUGGCAAGCAGUUAGACACAAAACACAACAAACAAUGAUGUUUAUAUUGUUUCAUAUGCAUGUGUUUGUUCAUACACCAAGGCAGCAUAAAUAAGCCUUCACAAGAGCAACAUCAACCUGAAAUCAGUCAUAAUAGGACGGCAAUAGACAUAUCUACCAGAGCAAAUAAAGAAACAUCCACUUAUUAAAUCACAAUGUCCUCAUGCUACCAAAUAAUGUAGAAGUAGCAAUCCAAAGUGAUGUUAGUUAAAUGGCUAAUGAUGUGUUGAAAAGUUUGCCUUAAAAUGAGUUUUUUGCUCUUGCUUAUUGUGAUACUGAUGAAUCCUACUCUUUAUAAUCCAUGUGUUUUUGCAUUCGUCAGUGUUUCUGCACACUGCCCUCACUGUAAACUGCGUCUCUUAAUGAAUGGAGCAUCUUACAGUUUUUCUCAGUCGCUUUGGUACAUUUCUCAGAUCAGAAUUGAAAUUCUCAAAACUACGUGUUCAAUUUUCACAUCAUUGUGCCACUUGUGCACAUCAAAAAAGCAGUUUCUCAUUUCUUUGAACAACUUGCAAAUGCUUUGGUACAUCCAUGCAAAUGAUUAUGUACAAUUUUCUGCUGUUUUCUACAUUAUCAAUUGCUUAUGUCAUGUUGAUCAAAAUGUAUUAUAAUGGGUCUCUGUUGAAUAGUCUCACCUCCCUCAACAUUUAGGCAUUAGUUCAUUGCAUAAGUCUUUACAUGCAAAAUGGUUGAACAAGCUGUCAUAAUAUGUCAAGCAUAUUUCUAUACAUUUCCAUCAGACGUUUCUGAAUCUGUCCUGAAUUGGUAAAUUGCUCCCAGGUGAAUCUUGACUUUCUCUAACGGUGGGAAAUGUGUGAAGCAUUAGAUCAACCAAUGAUCAACCACUUUUCUGAAAUAGCUCAAAGGUGCAUCUCAUGAACCAUCAACUGGCAAGUGUAUAUAUUGCCGGAGCACAACACAAUGUUACAAUGUCUGACAAUGGAAGGACAAGGAAUUGGACGGGGUCAACAGCCAGAGAGAAGAAGAGGAAGAGGAGUGAGGCUGCGUGGCGGAGGAGUUGGGAGGCAAAACAGAGGAAGAGGCAGAAUAGGCAGAGGACAUAUGCGCGUUCCUGAUGAGAUAAGAGCUACACUUGUAGACCACAUUCUCAAUCAUGGGCUUACAAUGGCUGAGGCUGGCCGAAGGGUGCAGCCAAAUGUUGGGAGAACAACUGUGUCCUCAAUCAUUCAGACUUUUCGUUGACAGAACAGGUAUGUAAUCUAACAAUAGGCACUGUAAUGUAAUACUGUAUACUUUCUGUGAUGCUUCAUACAAUAUUGCAGUAUUCGACUUUCAUUUUACAAUAUACAGUAAGUAUACUAUAUACAGUGACAUUGUAGGUGUAGGAAGACUGUACUGUAAUUCCUACAGCACUGCAUUUCCAGUUUUCCCUAAGGAAAUUGUCGUAUGUUCACAUUUCUACUUUUUUUAUUUUUUAUUGUGCUCUGCAGUGCUGUCUUUUUCUUUUCUGUAUCGCAAUGACAUGGUCUGUCAUCAAAUUACAGUCUCUUGCAAUCAAUCUCCCACAUACACUGAGGUGUAACUUCCAAUUUACAAUGAUUGUCAUCAAAACUUUAGCCAUAGUUUACAUCAGAACAUCCCUCCAGAGUACACUGUUAUACUGACAACAUGACUAAGCAAUUUGACUGUCUUAUCCGUGCACAAUGACACAAGGACUUGUCAUUCUGAUGGCACUGACAUGUUCAUUGACACAGAUAUUUACUUUUGAGAGAUGUACUAAGGAUUUUGAGCAAGAGACUGGCUUUUGCAGCUAAUCCAUGGUGUUUUGCUAGUUGUACAAAUUGUUUUGAGAAAAGGACUUACUGUUUUGCAAAUGUCGAGGAUGAUUCGAGAAAUGUACCAAAGCGACUGAGAAAAACUGUAAUAGGUCCACGUGUAUCUGAUGGAUGAGUCAGGAUGUUUUUCUUCUCUGAUGUUGUGCCAAACAACUAAAAUUGCUCUGCAAUGCAAUGCAUGAAUAUGCCUUAAGCCAGUCUGUCUUUUCCUUAACAGGCUUGAUGACUUCACAGUCCUCUGCAGUAGAUAUUAAGGCACUGUUGCCAUAAAUGAGCUAUCUAAAUAAAAGCAGCCAGCACCAUUAAUUGAUUGACUGAUCACAGACCAAGAUGUGUUGCAAGGAGCCAUCUCAGUUCCAUUCAAAGGCAGGAAUUUAAAGCGAUGAAAGUGUUUUUGCUGUAACUUAAUUACUGCUCAGAGAGACCUCAACCAGCCUGUCAGUUGGUUCUUCUGCCAGCUAAAGCAGCUUGGUUGAUGAGUUUAACCCUUACCUGUUCAGGGAGCAGACACAAAGGCAAGACAUGAAAUAAGACAAUCUACUGUCUUUGACUUAUCCACCCAGAAGAGAGAGCGUGUUUUCACAGGGGUAAUACUCUGAAGCUGUGACCAGGGUGUAAUGAAGGAUUCCAUGUAAUGGCCCCUCUAGCUGUUCCACAUCGCUUCCUCCUCAUCCCUUCCUCGCUCUAUAACCACUUCCUCCGUGAUUUCAUGGGAAUUAAGGGGAGAAAGGUGUGUUUCAUAUGUAAAGCAGGUAGCUUGUGCUAAGAUGUGAGCUGGUUUGUGUGCCCCCCCACCCCCUGGUUUUUGUCUCUUGGGUCGUGGAUGGAAUGGGUGUUGGGAGGUUGGUCGACGUAGGCUUUGAUCACUGGCAGAGGGUCGCUAUGGUUCAAUUUCUAUGGUGCUCCUCUGAGAGGUGAGCUCUGCAAUUACAAACCAUGUGAGAGACGACGAAGGGAUGUUAAUUUCUCAGCUGCUAGCCCAUGUGUCAGUUAGCCAACAGAGGACAUGAAUCACAUUUACGGUAUGAGGCAGAAAGGCCCUUGGCAGCACCGUAACCAGGACAUGAGAUGUAAAAUCCAUUGAAUAAUCUCCUCACUAUGUAAGCUGUGUGGUUGUAAGAAACUCAGUGAAGCACCACAAAAGCAUGAGACCUUGACCUCAUGCUGUCUCACAGUUUAAAGCCUCAUUUACUUACUUUCGUUUAUUAAUUUUGACCAAUGGUAUCUGAAUUUUGGCCAUUUCAAGGCAAAAUUAUGUGUAUUUAAAUUUUUUUGAAGGCUAGUAACAGAGUAAGUUGGGUAUCCAUGCAUAAAUCAUGUUUUCAGGUCAGAGACAAGCUCUUUUGUCUUUUAACCCUUCUCCAGUGUUAGCUUGUACUAUGCACUCACUAUGUUAAGGGUCGGUUUCAACCCGUGUCUUAAAUCAGCUUUAAAUUACACUAAAAACAUUUCUCUAUCAUCCAAUUUGGUUCUCAUCUCUAGGUUACCUUGUUAGGCUUCAUUAUCCAUGAAAAUAUUGCUUAUGAUUUUAGUUUUUGCUCUAAUUUUUAGAUAUUAAUCUAAACCGGGUCAACAGUGACCCAAACAUGACAAGUGUCAUAAUUUUAACAAGAGCAUUUUAUAAUUUCGUCAGUUUAAUUUUUUUAUUUGUUAUUUUGUUGAAAUAGAGGUUCCUGACAAAGUCAAAAAGUCUUGAUGCAAAUUAACUAAUCUAAGUGGUUCUUUUAAGCAUUUAAAAACAAAAACGGGUUGGUGCAGACCCUAACAUAGGACGGGGGUUAACAGUCAAACUUUUUAUGUAAGUUAAAUCUUUUCUGUGAAAAAACACUGCUUUAGCAGUGUGCAGUAGAUGAUUUUGUAUGCUCAAUAGCAGAGCUGUCAGGCAGUGGUAAUAUGUGCAAAGAUCUCAAAGAAACACUAAGGCAAUGUGGAGCUGAGAGCAGAAGCUUUGUUUGUAGUUAUAAGUUUGCUGGCCAGGAAAGGCGACCCCCUGCUACAUGGUUUUGAAGUAAUGUUGUAUGACAAUAAUUUUCUGGCAAAAUAAAGCUGUCAGUUUAAACACAUUAAAUAAAUAAUGCUAGUUUAUAUUAUCCUUUCAUCCGACCAAAACAGCAUCAACAAUAUAAACAGACAAUGAUCUGAUGUCUGAUCUGAGGGUGGACUCAUUAGAAGGUGAGCUUGUCAUGGUGAUGACCCAGUCAGAGGUUCACAGCCUGGUCAGUAUGCUGACAUAACUCACCUUGAGAAAAUAUAGAGAAAAACCAAUUUUAGUCCUCCAAGAGUUUCUCCUGUGCUUGUUUUUGUGUGAUCAAAGAAACACAUAAACCUGAACGAUCUUCUGUCACUUCAUUUCUACCACCUUCUCAAUCAUUUCUUGUUCAAAAAAUGUAACUAGCUGCACACUCAAGGGCAACAUGUAGAGCUUUUUACUGUCAGACUAAAGCUAUGAGCUGGUGGUGAUCAAAGAGCUGAAAAGCUUUUCUACAGUUACAUCUAACAAGCCAGAGUAUUACAAACAGAGAGGGAAAUUCCAGAUCAGAUGAUCAUGUCUUUACCCAGACCAGAUACUUUAGCCAUAAAAAAAAAAUCACACAAACAGCAUAGAGGCAAAGGAUGUUAUUUGUUCUGUAUGAUCAAAGUAACACAGGUUUACAGACUUCAGGCUUACACCCAUGACCCACAAAGACUCUCUAACACACCUGUCAAGAGCAAUGAAAGAAAAAUAACCUUCAGACUGCACAGUUUAAAGCCUUUAUUCUUGUAUGAAAACCCUGAUACGGCUCUAAAUACAUAUAAAAACUUUCAGCAUAAACUCAGAUGAUUUAUGGAGAGUUUGAAAAUGUCUGACUUUCAGCUGUGGUACAGAAAAAUUCUCAGAUGCAGGUAACGUAUUCUGCGGGAACAGAUUUGACUUGGGCACGCUGAGGAGCUAAAAGCAUAUAUUCACACGGUCAUUGGUCAAAAACUGGUCAUUAAUUAGCUACAUCAGUGAUAUUGAAUAGCAACAAAUUGUUGCUUUAAAAACCAAUUUUUCUGACAUUUUUAAAAGAAAGAAACUGAUAGAAACAGAAAAAGUCCUGACUUUAAAUUUUAAUGUAGGUUAUAUCUGGAUCACAGUGAGAGGCCUGGAUAAAAGUCUGUUUUCCUUUAAUCAGUGCCUUUGACCAACCCCAAUGAAUCUAUAAAGAGUAAAUAAAAGCAUCAGAUUUAAUUAUUGAAUUAUUCCCUCUUGGGAUCCAAAACAUGGGAACUCUUUGGAACCACAACAGAAAUUUUACUUUCUGCUGAAAUAAAUGGGUGAAUUAUUCCUGCUGCUCUGCCCCGAGGAGGAAAUAUUAAACAAAUUCAAAUGUUGUCCUUUGACAUUGUUUCAUUCACUGUUUAGUAGAAAAAUGUGACAUGUGAAAGCUACGUAAAUGUACAUCAUUGCAUGGCAUAUAAAUGAAUCUUAUUUGUGUUCACAGAAGGGAAAAAAACAGUGGGUUGAUUCAUCUUGAUAAACUGCUUCUUUAAAGGAAUGAUUAAUUAUUCUUCUUGUGUUCAGAAUAACUGAUUUCAAAGACGCUCUUUGUUGAACUGUAUCUUACUGGUUCAUUUACACCUCCUCAUGAAAUCUGUUAUCACACAGCACAAGCGACCAAAAUGGAACGUGCCCUUCAGCUUUGCAAAUCAUGAAAUUACUGCAGUGGGAAUUUUACCUUCACACUGCAGUCUGCCUCGUACAGCACACAACCAUGUUCCUGUGAAAAAAAAGAAAACACUCCAAAGGAACGCACACAUAAUAUUUCAAAAGACGUGUUAGGGUGUAGUUCUAUCCUGUGAAGCAAGGAUGCCCUGGAACUGUUUAAAGAGGCCUGUGUCUGCGUCUGAAACUAGAAGCCUUUCCAGCGCUGCAGCACAUCAAACUGUGAGGCUGGUUAGGCUGAGCAGAGCUGCUGCUCGUCUUUGUUUAAAACUGCAUGAGAUGAGGAAGGCUAAUUGGACUAAUUAGCCACAAAACAAGGCUUGACUGAGCAGUCUUUCUGUACCACAGAUGUUUUGCCUCUCUUUAGUUAAAAAAAAAGAUGGCAGGAAGAACAGCCUGAUAAUCAAAGCUUACCCACAGUGGCAUUAUUAGGCCCAGUGCUGUCACAAAGCAGACAGGCAGACGUGUUUAUGAUGAAUUGGAGCUUUAACUGACCUUUGCCACAAUAUCUGGACGCCAACCUUGCUUCUUGACAGUCAGUGGUUUAGGCGACGGCCCCAUGGUAUGAAAGCCAAACUAACUUUUCUCUUUUCUUUUGAACUGUUUACGUUUCGGAUGAAGUAUAACACUAAAAAUGUUAAACUUAGCUAACUUUAUUCCCAAUCCCUGAGGCUUCAUGGGAAGUUUGGAAAUUGUAAAAAACCUUUCUUGAUUCAGAAGCAUAUGACCCGCGAUACCUCAAAUCUUUUUAACAUUAAGCCAUUUCUAUUUACAGUUUGAAUGUGAUGGUUACUCUGUAUUACAUAACACUGCAUAUUUUAGUUGGAGAAUUUGAGGAUCAUCUGGAGAUUUAAAUCAUUAGUUAAUUCACUUUUUCUUAGCUGGAAAUAAUGCCUUACCCCAACGAAAAAAGCAAAGUUUCCCUGAGGGUUUUUGGUAAGUUUCAAUAUUUUGUAAUUUUACAUGCAUGCUGUAGGCUGAGUGCAGGACAAAAAGAGACGAAUUUUCCUUGAGACUGGUCGAUAAUAAAAAAAAAGACUGCUGUGGGUGCAAUCUUAGCUCUGUUGGUAGUACAGGCACCCCAUGUAUAGAGGCUACAGUCCUUGCUGCACUGGUUGAAGGAUUGGUUCGAGGCUGCUAUGCCCUAUCCCCCCAGAUUCAAAGUAUUCAUGCACAAUUGUAUGACUUUCAUUGAAUGACUUUAAACAGAAAACAUUAGGAAGUGAAAAUAACUGCACAUAAAGCAAAAAGGUUCUUGUGGGGGGAGUGUUCGGGUCAACAAAUGCAGGACUCUUACUGGCUUUAAUGAUUUUGAUCAAUUUUUGUUAAACUUCACCUUUAACUUUUUAAAGUUCAGUAGUUUACCUUAUUUAAGUUGAUCUAUUUCAAAUAAGUAAUAGAAGAAGUUUUGGUGCUUGGGCUUGAUGUUUGGGCGGUGAUACAGAAAAUUAUGGCGAGAGCUUACAUGUGAAAAAUGAGAGCAGUUUGCCUUGUAACAAAAUAUGAUCUUAGUUGAUAACAUACUUUUCUUGAGAAAUGAAGCAGGCAUCAAGUGAGAGGUUGGCUGUAUCAGUCUGAGAUUUUACUGUGAAUACUCAGAUGCUUUUCUAUAAGAAAUCCAUUAUCUGUUAAUAUUUGCUGAAUGUAUUUCUGUGCAUUUACAUCCCUAUCCUCUGGGAUGUGCAGGCGUAUUGUACACUCUUUCAUAAGCAUCUUAAAUCUCCCAAUAAGACAGAAGCGUUAUCACCCAGUGAUAAGAAUUUAGAGGCAUUUCAAAUCAUGUGAAAAAGGCCCAAAUCUCUUUAAACCCACGAGACAGAAAGUCAAUAGGCAGAGGGACCAAAGACGAGUAAUGUGAUUUUUGGAUUUAACAAUUUUUUUUUUGUAAUAUGUGUGGAGUCACCUGUCAGGAGGAUAAAAAGCAAGUUAACCAAAGCUAGAACAAACAGGAGGUGAAUUUUGUUUCCAAACAAACAAACAAACAAGGAGGGACAUUUUUAUUUAAUUUGAGCCGAGCUGACAGGAAGAGAAGUGACAAAAUCACAGCAUAAAUUAACACUUCAUACUGCACAUCUUCAAAGGUGACUCUACCUUCAUUUCCAUGUUGAGUUUCUUCUUGUCAAAGUUACUCUGCAUAACAAUGAUGUUAAUUUUAGAAGCCUGACCAUGAGUGUCGAUUUGGUCCAAAUUGAAAUUGAAAUUUCAUAAAGCAGGUUUUUAUCUUUAUAAUAACCAGGAAAUAUUCAGCAAAAAUCAUCAGAAACCAUAUUAGGGAGAGUUCAGAAACUACUUUAACUCAGACGUGAGAGUGUGUGCACCAGCAGGUACGUACUUGCCUCCCUAUUUAACUGUAGAUGUAGGAUAACAUGCUCAUUAUAAAAGGGCUAAAAAGGCAACAGAUGUUUUUUUUCAUAUGAAUGUGUGCAUGUUAAUUUUAUUUAUUUAUUUAUUAUUGGGAUAUGUCAUAUUUUGCCUCCAUGGAUGGAAAUGUAUGAUGCCCUAUGUAUGAAUUUUUUAAUGGGGAAGAGCUUGGUAUAAUUUUUUUUAAUGAAAGUUUUUGUGGCCCGAUUUAUAAUCAUUAUUCAUUUUGUACUUUGUCAUCUCCACCUCACUGUAUUUUUCUGUUUGCCAAUCAGUGUUGUAAACCUGUUUGUCUUUCGUGAUUAUUUUAUGUAAAUCAUAACAUGUAAAAUAUGUGUGCGAUUUAAGAUAAGCAAACUUUUAGUGGCUGUUACUGUGUUGUAGUUAUCAGACACUGCACAAGCUGUAAUUUGUUCAGAACAUGACAUAAACAGUUCCUCUGACUUUGGACUCUCUUAGACUGCCUGCCCCUGUGCUGUAGCUACAUCCUCUUGAGAGUUAUCGUCUUGUUGAAGCAAGAUUACAGCCAAAUCAGAUAAAACAAAGCCUGUGCCACGAGCAUAUCUGUGUGUUUCUAUGUGUGUGUAUCCGUGUGUGAAAAGGGAAAAGUUCCAGAGCAGGAUAGAGUUCACCCCUCACUGCUCCCUCUCUGCUCCCUGCUGGGUCUCUUCUGUACUCCUCAGUAACGACUCAUGUUUGAGGCCGAGUGUCAAUGACAGCCCACCUCCGGCACUCAGCCUCUGUACAGCUGCAGGAUAACACAGCCCAACCUUGCCUCCAGCUGGCUGCAUUGUAAUAAUGAAAAAUAGAUGCUGCACCGUAUUAUGCACACCUGGCUGCUCGUCUGAGUGUGCACGUAUGCAUGCGCGUUUGUGUACAAGUGUUACCUCCUUUAUUAGUUUGCAGGAACACCAGAGUGUGCCGUUAGAUGUGUUCACCCUGUGGCUUCAUUCACCGUGCUUCAUCCAUGUUAAUGAGGAUAUAAGGGCUCCCCAUCCCUCCAAGGUCAUAUGCACUGUAGAAGUACUGUAGGGAUUAGCCACCCCAUGCACCCUUAUUCCAUAUGUUCUGAAUACCAACAUAGACACUCAUAGAUUAGAUUGACCUCCCCACAUAUGUGGGUUACAUGUCUAAGGUAUACAUGUAGUAACCCACAUGUGUGCUCAAGGUUCCUGAACCCUGCAACUAUGACCAUCAGCAGCGCUAGAGGAAAAACACAGCUGAUCUUAAGGUGGUAUGGAUUAUUUUGGUUCCAUGAAUGGUAUAUAAAAACAGGGAAUAAGCUCAGAUUGGACCAAACAUAAUAGUACAAACUUCAGAUAUAAGUCCUGUUAAGAUGGGACUGUAUAAAAAUGGAUGUCAUGACAACUCAUAAAAAGUGAGGACAAAUUUUGAAGAGCUUCCCCGAUAACUGGCUGUGGUACAGAUCAUGAAGUCUGCCUCCUCCUGUUUAACAGAUGGGUAGUGGGUCGGGCUAGAAAAUCAUAGUACACCUAAAAAAACAUUCAAGCAAACUUUCUACGGUGACAUUAGUUUUCAUCAUAGUGAUUUACAUAAAGGAAUUUAUUUUUUAACUUUACCGGGUCACUGUUUCAACCUUAGACCGUAUGAAUGAAAGAAUGGACGUCAUCUACCUGCAAGAACAGCACCCUCUGGUGACGGGCUGCAGUAUAGGUCAUAAAUCCCUCCUCCUCCAGCAAACUUAAUGGAGCUGUGGACAACUUUAGAAAUUAACUACACAGGAUGUACACAGAAAAUAUAUUUUCUCCUCCCUGGUUAUGAUGUUGACAUGAAGUUAUUGUAAGACUGGUUUGUGCUCAAGUCCUCUUUUUUUCUGUGCGGCUCAAUUUAUAAAAGUUAUUAGGGGGUUCAUGAUUUCUAUGAUUGACACUUGAUACAGCCUAUGUGCGUACAAAAGCUUUUUAACAGCUUUUAUUAUGCUCGUACUCUUCAUCUAAAGAAGACCAAUAGGUCAAAAUAUUGUGAUCCAAUAAUUAUGACACAAAUACUGUCAUGUGUGAUGAUAAAACAAUGGUGAGGACCCAAGUGUUGACCAAGAGUUUAAACGACAAAAACUAUACUGUGAAACGAAUGUCCAACUCAAAAUCCAACAAAACCAGAGGAGACCAACAAGUCAUGGGGAGGGUGAAUUGAAGAUCAAGAUUUAAACACAGAAACACAGAGGAAAAGACACAGUGAGCGGACUCAGGAGGAAUGAAACACAGAGUGAAUACUGACGGGGUCAAACAGACACAGGGAUGACAUAAGACCCCCCAUUUGUUCAGGUCAGGAGAGGUCACACAAUCAUGAUGGAGGGAAAUCACACAAAGGCAGGAAGUAAAACUUGAAAAGUUUAGAUGGAGACAACACUUAAAAAAGAAAACCUGAAACACCAAGGGAACCGAGAAACAGGAAGCAACACAACCAAAUAUAAACAAAAUACUUCCCUGUGUUUUAGUCCUCUAAAAUGAUGUCUCCUUAAUCCUUGGUGCUCAACUAAACCAGAAGUACAGACCAGCAUCGUAAGGUAGUGUCCCAUGGCUAGUAGUGUUGUGGAUUGGAAGAGAGGAUUGAGUAGAGAAGAAGGAAAUCAGAGAAACAACAGACAGUCAGUAAUUUGCUAGAAUAAAAGUGUUUGACCUGUGUAUGGAAAACUAAAUUUUGAUUGUCACUCUUAUAGAAUCAAUAAAACAGAGUAUCUCUUCAAAGUAUUAUAUCUUAUUUGUUUUCUGAUUUGAAAUCACAAGGAUGACAGUAUUAUUUUCUUUGCAUCAUCAGCCAUUUCUCUAACAUCUGACAACACUAAUUAGUUUACGUUUACUGUCAUGUCAGUUUUAUACCAUGCACAAGGCUGUCAUUGAAACUACUUCAUGACUCACUUUUGACCAACUUAUCACAGACGGGAGGUAUAACAAGACAUAAAACCCGAGGCAGAACUACAAAAUAAAAUAGGAAACUCGUGAUAUUUUACCCUGUAGAAAUGUCAGGUUGAAUUUUUUAAAGUCUGGCUUUCCAGCUGGAGGCAAAGAUGAGCUUUUCAGGAUUAGGGCGCCAGUAGGUGAGAUGUUGGUGAGACCCACAUUUGCCAACUCUUUUGCUUCAUAUCUGUCUUCGUCUCUCAGUCUUAUUGAAACUCUGGAGUUCAAAUUGUUGUGUGAGCUGAAAUGAAUCACAGGCUGGAAACCUGUCCCAGCUUUGGAAAUGUUUUUACAUUAAGCUCUUUUGGUGUGUUUUAUUCAAGACUAACAGAGCCAGGCUGUCCCCCCACAUGCUUACUGCUGGUGCUGGUGGCUUCAAACCAUCACUGGUGAUACACUGGGAGGGAAUUUUUCAUUAAACUCCUAAAAGUAGGUGUACUUCCCUGCAUAUUAAAGUAGUUCUUGAAGCAACAGACUCCCACAGUCGUGUGACGGUAUUGCUAUGCAGCAUUUAAUUGUCAAUUCUCUGUCUGUGUUAAAAAAAAAACAUGGCACAGCUCUGUCCUCUCCCACGGCGGUGUUGCAGCUCUGUGGCUGCCUCUUUCAGCCCUCCAGAAAGCAUCCAAAGAGAGAUUUCCAUGCUUGAGCUAAUCUCAGAACCCAGAACCAAAUCUUGCUCUGUUGAAAGCUACUGGUUGCCUGUCAGGAGAGAUUCUGCUCUCUCUACCUUAACAAACCAAGCCAACCAAGCAUGACCCCCUUUCCUUCACUGCAAGACCCAUAUAUGCCAACUCUCCUGCCUCAUGUCUGUCUUUGUCAUUCGGUCUCCUUCAAAGUGUCUGGAGUCCAAAUUGAUAGGAGGGAUGGGAGAUGCAACAUGAGCCAUAAGCUCAAAUCCUAUUUCAGCAUUUGUUUUUCCACAAAGCUCUCUUGGUUUCUUACAGGUGUAGAGUCGGCUAAACAAGUGCGGAGCUGCUGUCAAAGCUGUUUGAUGUCCAGCUAAAACUGAAGGUCCUACGAGUCCACUUCCUGACUGGUUUCUACUACAGGGUGUUUGUUAGAUCUGGUUUGUUUGGGAGCACUGUCGAGAUGCUUUUUAAGUUCAAUCAUAUAACCCAGGGACACUUCAGCUGCACACGCUCUGUGCGUUAGCUUGAGUGUCAUAUUAGGAGGAACUAGAUAUCUUUGCACAGAAGCUGGUCCACCUUUAUUUAUAUUGUUAAGAUAAGGUGAGCACAGGGCAGAGGUCUGAAAAGAAGUUGCCUGUCUGGGGCGAAAAAGCAGGAUUUGUGGGCAUUGAACCUACAAAUUAAAAUAACAUCGAACAAUAACUACCUUAAACCACUUUAAAUGUGUAUAUGACACCUGCUCACAUCAUUCUAAUAUGUUUACCUAUGAGUAACAACAUUUCAACACUGCAGAUUAUUACUGUCAUCUUGAGUUAGUUUAACAGCUAACUUCUAUUACUGCCUGACAGAAAGCCUACCUGACGGCACAAAGCACAACUGCAGUAAAAUAAGCUAGACUCGCUAUGCAACAGUUCGUGUUGCCAUGUAUGGACAAAAAAGUGAUGAUCUUUGACUCGUGGUGCAUCGAGGAGGAUAUUUUUUUUUAAACGGCAAAAGCCUCAGCAACAACCUGGAAUUAAAAUACAUACAGUCAAACAGAGUGUUGCAGAGAUGGUGCUUUGUUUUGGUAUUUCUGGUUAAAAAGCUAGGUCUUCUUAGACAUAUAGAUAUAUGUUGGGACUGAGGACACAGAGCCUGAAAAUGGGAUUGUCCUGAUCAAAUCAGGAUGUACAGUCACCCUACGUGAGCAGGAUCUAGGAUUGCGAAUCGUUGGACUUGCUCUCUCACAGUUCGAGCUUGUUUCCGGGCUCAGGAAACAUGUUGCAUGUAAAUGGGACCAGAAAUGAGGUUCAUAAAUGGUCCCACUGUGCUCAUAUGACUGAGAAUAUGGAGUUACGGAUGCAGACAUUCACUUUAAAGCCUCCAGAUGAAUUCAUUCAUAUAUCCAGUAAAAGGGGUGCAGGAGAGUGAGGACUGCAUGCAGAGAAGUUAUAGGACCACCAUCAUUUCUCAGUGCUGGAGCCUAUUUCAUAUAAAUGGACCUCCGGUAGGGAGUAACAGGCCCUGCAAAAAUGCACGUUAUGUGAAUCAAAAACUCGAGACUUUCUUCAUACUCACAAUAUUCACACACUGCUGAUGCCCUUCGAUACCACAGCAUUUAUUUCUCCAUCCGUCUCAUACGACUCGAGCACGGCUCACUUUUCCUCACCUCCCUCCAUUCGCCCUAUCAUCAGUGUAAAAUACCUCACCCCUGCAGACAGAGACAGAUGGAGGGAGCAGCACCAGCCCCCUGCUCGGCUCCAAUGAUUUAUGCCACGGUAGCACAGAUCCCCCCCACACACACUUGCAUUCACACAUAUAGCAUGCAUGUGAUCAUACAUCAGCCGAUGAGAUCCAUGCAUAAAUACGCAAGGACUCGCUUGUGACACAGAGCUGAAUGCAUGACGGCACCUGUCUUGUGUUAAUGUUAAAUGCCAGAGCUCGAGGGCUUUUUAAAAGGACAUGUGCAUCUUUGAAGCUGUAGCAACAGGGUCUGACAUCAUUUGUCCCUUUCCAUGACAGGUAAAGAGGAACAGGCGCAGGGGGAAAUUCUUCCUCCCUGUUCCAGCUGACUGAGGUGUCAGGCGUAAGAAACGCUGCAUUAUACUCAGCUGCAAUACUACGCCACAAGACUGAAUUAUGGGAUGCAUACUAUAGCACAUGCCUACCAUGCAAACGGAGAGUUUUUUAGAGGGGAGAUGAUGAGCGUACAAAACUGCUCCUGAAAAAGAGAGCAAAAAGAAGCAGUUGGAAGCCAUGUGUAUGUGGGUGUUAAGAGAGUGUGUGUGUUUGUUUCUUGGGCUCUGGUGCAACAAGGACAUGCUUGCUGUACACGAGGCAACGGUUUGUGAGUAAGGUCAUUGUACACACUAUCCUCCUCUCGUCACCCUCCCCCCUCUAACCAAACCCACCAACACACAUUUUAAUAUUCAGUCUGUAGUGUAAAUGGGUUUGAGGCAGCGAAUGUAGGAUGUGUAGAAACAAACAGCUAUUAAAGAAGAGAGGACAGCUGAGUGAGGGGUGGAGAGAGGGAUGAAGGUAGAAAAGAAUAGAAAACAAGGGAGGUAGGCCAUGGUGGAGGGGAAAUCGUUUAUCCUGCAGCCCAGGUAAGGGUGACCUGUUUGUCUCUGUCGGCCUCUGUUACUCCCCUGACGUCUCUAUAAUAGGCCUGUGAGGCAGGUAGACACGACAGCACACAGCAGCGGCCCACGGUAACAGAGGCUCACAGGCGCUUAAGCUUCAUUCCACCCCAGUAACUUUAGGGAAUUCACAGAAAUUUCACUUAAUGAAUUAAAUAGCACCAUCCGUUAUUUACAAUGACUUGUUUUUAACAAAUGUGGCUUAAAGGGAAAAAAGACAGAAGAAAACAAGCUCCUCUGGACAGCUUUUGUAGAUGCAGACGGCAUUUCUGAGUCACUUUUGUUGUUCAGUGAAGCUUUUUAUCCAUACCACCGUCGUGGCAUCGAUGUCAGUGAUGAUAAGUUUGUUUGAAUGGUUGGUUGGUGGAUUAUUUAUGCCAAGAAAGAAAUAUCUAUCACAUGUAUUGUUUAGAAACAGUAUUAAUUUUGGCAGCUGUUUUAGAGUGUGUCCUGGGGUAAUUUUAUCACAUUUUGUUUUAUUUUUACUGUCUAUAGUUUUACAUUUAAGUCAUUGCUUUUAGUCAAAAUGUUUGUACUUGCUGUGGUGGAAGCCCAUCAGCUCUGCCCUUUUUACAAAAAACUCCAAGGAGAACAGGCACGCAAGCUAGGCUAUAGUUUUCUGCAGAUGAGCCCAAAUCUACCACAUGAUUCAAUGAAAUUUAAGAGGCUCCUCUUGGUUUAAGUGUGCCCCCUACUGAGGAAUAUUUCAGCACUCUGCCAUCAGAAAAGCUGUGAGGUUUCACUGUGUUUACAGCCACAAUACAUGUAAGUAUUCUUUUGCCUGCAGCACUAAAAUGUUAGUCUUGUGUUUUCUGGUUAUUAAAACCUGUUGUCAGAGUUUUUAUCAACAGUAUUAGACUUUUAGCUUAACAAUGUCCUUUUUUUGUCACAAAAAAAUUUGUAAUCAAUAAAAUAUCUUGUAAAGGUUUAUUUUUCUCAGAGGAUUGGCAGAAUUUGGCUUUAAUCGUGACACGUGUGAAGUUUUACUUCUGAUUUUGAGUAAAAUGUCUAAAUAAUUAUUGAAGAGACAAUCAUUAAUGUUGCAUCAGCCUCAGGAGGAGGAAGUUUGAAACCUGUUUCCUGGUGCCAUUUCAAAAUAAAAAUUUGUAAUCUUCCUUUAUCAAACCUUUUUGUGUCAAACACUAUUUGACAUACAAUCUCAAGUGUACUAACUGUAUAUUAGCAAAUGUUAGCAUGCAAACAUGCCGACAGGAGAAGAUGCAAAUUAAUAUGUCUUGCUUAACAUCACUCUGUUGUGACUGUGAGUAUUUUAGCAUGCAAACUAAAGCAUUUACUGUAAAGCAAAGUGGUGCAAAGCCUAAGCUUUAAAGAAUGUGUCUUGAAUUUUUAUGUAGUUCAACAGGAAAACCCUUUGCUGGUUGAAUGUUGCCAUGGCACCUCCGAAAGUAAGAAUAAGAGCUAGCACGAUGUGUGAUUCUGCACCACUGUUCAUCACACGGGGAAAAUCCAUUGUAGAGUAAAAGUGUCAACAGUACAUGACGAACGAACCCCGACAACCCACCACGCACCACAGACGGAUGACUUAUAACACUGUAAGAGUAUUCAACAGUGGAUUUUACCCAGGGCAGUAACUAUAGAUCUGACGAGAACUUCAAAUAAAACUAAGCCAAGCAGCCGGAUCUCUUUGAUUUGUGUCUCUGCUCACUUACUUCUCCUGUUUUUAUUUCAUUCACUGUCCUCUGCAUGAUGCCAUAACGGCAGCUCCUUCAUCCUCUUGCUACAGAAUCACCUUAGUGAGGAUCCGUUUCAUUACUUUUAUUUGGAAAUAAAACAGUGCAGAGCAAAGUUAGAAAUGAGCACAGAUGAGGGGGAGAGACAGAGGGUGAAAAAAGAGAAGAGACGAGAGACAAUCUUGGCCUGGAGCUAUGGAAAGUUGUAAUAGAUGUUAUGUGAGCAGCAGGAGAAUAAAAAGCAUGUGGGCGUUUAUUAUGAAAUUAAUACUUUUGGUAGCUUUUACCAUAUUGUCUUAGACCUCUCACUUUCCCACAGUGAUGCGUUGGUUUUUCUCAAAUCACAUCCUUAUAUAAUACACAGAAUAACAAUUACAAGAGUUUAAACGGUGACUUAUGAAGCACGAAAUACAGAAGCAUGGAAGCAACAGUACUCUUGUUUUGGAUACAGUAAACCAUGACAGUAAAUGAGCAUUAUUUUAGGGAAUAUGUGCUCUACUUUCAUGCUAGUUUAAUGAAUAAGUUGUUUAGACUUCAUAGAUAUAUGCGGUACAUUGCCCAGGAGAAACAAGAAAACGCACACCAGCACACCAAAAUGCCUGUUCACUACAAAAUUGUGUUCAUUGUUCGGAUUCAUAAAGCAAAUGACAAACAUAUUAUUGAAUGAGUAAUGAACAGUCUCAGAGCAAAGAGUCUGGAUAGCCUUUUAGAAUACCAAGCCAUAGAAGUCAGCAGAGAAAUAGGUCGAAGUGAAUAGAGACGACAGUGCGCCUCACAGCUUCCAAAUAAAAGAACCAAACUCUUUGUUUACAAGCCCAGAAAAUACAAAGACAAGGAGCUACAAAGUGUAAAUUACAGAAGGAACUAAAGUGACAGGUGAGGCAGGAGGAAUGAAAGGAUCCUUCUGCUCCAGUGUGCAGGUCCACUGACAUCUCACUGUCAUCCUUGAACUGUCACUGAGCAACAAUCAUCUGUUGAGAUGUAUUUGUCUGUUUCCCUCCGUACAGUCAGCCAUGAGCAUGACCUGCAAGUCACACACUAGACUCUGCAUAAAAAGUAAGAUAUUGCACAUUUCUGUCUAUUUCCAGUACAACAGGAACCUACCUGGCCAGGCAUUUGAUUUUCACGGGUGAUCAAAGCCACCAUUUAAAAUCUUCUAAAAUCCAACAACAGAUUCACUUUAAAUUAAUCAAUAUGUAUCACCGAUAAAAAAAAGAAAAGAUUUAUUUUCAGUCCUCAAACAUAAUUUUCUCUUAAGAAGCAGACAAGAACCCAUUACAUUCACUGUACAACAUACAGCCCUGUGAUCCAGCGGCAAAGAAUACGCAGGCUAAAUGAAGACUGGCAGUCUACCUUUCUUUGACAUUGGUUAUCAUUGGAUCCUGACCGGUAUUGCCAGUGUGUUCUGAAUUUUAAAGAACUGAUGUCACUUCAUAGCAGUGCCUUCUACAUAAUUGUACAUGUCUGUUAAGUCUCUCUUCAUGUGUGCCAAUGAGACUGUGUCAGGGGGGCAUAACAUCAAUCCAUGCAUGCACCACCUUCACCAUGUCUGUGCAGCCAGUCUUAAAUGGGCUCUUAAGGAACUGCAGUAUUCAGCACUUCUGCAAUGGCUUUAUUUUAAGACUGGUUGGUUGCCACAGUGUGACAGUUGCAUCAGCACCAUGGACAGCAACUGCAAGUUGAAGUGAUGGUGGUAGUUGCACUUAGACUGAUUUGGCUACUGCCAGUUUACAAAGUACUUGGGGCAGAGAGGUUAAGAGUUCCAAGAUGUGUCGGCAUUGUGUUGCAUUGUGUUGGUGGGGUUUAGUCCUGCUACGGAUAAUUUGAAGUUCAAGUCUGCAAAGGUUAGGAGAGGAAAUAGAAAACAUGAGGUAAAGGCAUCUCUUGGACACAUAAAGAUUAUAGGGAACAUGCAAUGGGACAUGGUAGCUUAGGGCUGAGUUCAAGGAGGCCAUUGUUGAGGAAAGAGGGACUUAAAGAGAGAAGGAAGGUGGAAGUGGAGUAGGUAUGCCGGGUAAAUCAUCAGGCCAAGAAGGGAGAUGGCUUACAUGAGUUAGAUGAAGUGGAAAACUAUUGACAAGAGGAAGCUUGGCUGAAUUAACUUGUUUGAAGGCAAGUCAUUAGAUUACUGUUAGGGGCUAGAUACAAUAUGCUUCCACCACCCCAGAACCUGAAACACUGGAUGGGUCAUUACCAUUGUGUGCAAAGAUAGAGAGAGAUGCAAGGUUAGCCUGUUACAGGGUCACCAUAGAGGGUCUAUAGGGUAUAAUAAAGAGGGCAUAUGGGGUAUAGAGUAGGGUACAGAAUAUAGGGUAUAUAGGGUCGGAAUAUUCAACACCUGGCAUAACCAGGUGUUAAAAUGCUUAGUGGUAGCAGUGCAAAGAAAAUAUGUUUUUAAACAAGCGAGUAAGGCCACUUCAGGGGUGGAUUUAUGAUAAAAACUUGUUGCUCCCCGGGACAUAGUCUGCACAAACUCAAGGUCCAACAUAGUACCAUGGUCAAUCAGUCAAAGGAAAGUGAAUUUCAUUGACCUAACUCAGUGCAGGGGGCAUAUGAAAGGAAAAAGCUUAGAUAUGCAGAGUUGGCAGCAGAAGCCAAACAGUAAAGAUGGAAACUUAGGGUUUGUUCAGUUGAGGUACGAUAUAAAGGGCUGGUAGCAUAAACAACUCUCAAAUUACUAGGAGAAAUGGGAGCAGAUAGACAGAGUUUGUAAGAGACCACAAAC